RNAcentral lists this long non-coding RNA (202 nucleotides) under Capsicum annuum. RNAcentral's name for it is "long non-coding RNA (CANN_LNC016007)". The record is from RNAcentral. Lineage: Eukaryota; Viridiplantae; Streptophyta; Magnoliopsida; Solanales; Solanaceae.
AGAGGGAAGUGUGAGUUUAGUGCAUCCUAAUUCCUAGAAACUACAUGCCACCGUAGGUUUAGGAUCCUUGCCAGAGAGUUUCCUUCCUUUCCUAAUAUGGGCUCAGUUUAGUGAUUGCUCCAGUUCAGGUUCUACUCCGAUGGAAAGGAUAGAAUAACCCUCCUUAACAUGGGUCAGAUAUUGAACUCUACGAUAAUGCCGG